GAUGAACGCUGGCGGCGUGCCUAAUACAUGCAAGUCGAGCGAACGGACGAGAAGCUUGCUUCGCUUAUGUUAGCGGCGGACGGGUGAGGAACACGAGGAUAACCUACCUAUAAGAAUGGGAUAACGUCGGGAAACCGGAGCUAAUACCGGACAAUAGGUUGAACCGGAUGGUUCAAAAGUGAAAGACGGUCUUGCUGUCACUUGUAGGUGGAACCGCGCUGGAUUAGCUAGUUGGUAAGGUAACGGCCUACCAAGGCAACGAUGCAUAGCCGACCUGAGAGGGUGAUCGGCCACACUGGAACUGAGACACGGUCCAGACUCCUACGGGAGGCAGCAGUGGGGAAUAUUGCGCAAUGGGCGAAAGCCUGACGGAGCCACGCCGCGUGUGUGAUGAAGGUCUUCGGAUCGUAAAGCUCUGUUAUUAGGGAAGAACAUCUGUGUAAGUAACUGUGCAUGUCUUGACGGUACCUAAUCAGAAAGCCCCGGCUAACUACGUG
This 497-nucleotide ribosomal RNA is filed under the name uncultured bacterium. RNAcentral describes it as "partial 16S ribosomal RNA". It matches the Rfam family "Bacterial small subunit ribosomal RNA", at positions 28 to 507 of the family's 1533-position model. The record is from RNAcentral.